UCAGCACCUAUGCAUUCAAGAUUGGAAGUAGAGACACAUAUCACUUCACAGUCCAGAAAGCUAUUAUUGUUUCUGUUUCAGUGUGAGAGAGUCACAGACUUUGGGACAGGUUUCAGAGCAGGUUUAUUAUGGAUCCUGGAUCUCUACUUCAAUGUUCAUUACCUGGAUCCAUUUGGCUAAUAGGUUCCCUGUGGAUGGGCUUGCUUCCAAGCACAUACAUGGAAGAUGCAAAGGUGAGUGGGCUUGGUGCGGGACAGGAAGAAGACCAAAAUCAGACAAGGGUCUGACCCCUCCCCUGAUCCAGGAACUGCUACAGGAGAGGGUAUGGGAGGUAGAAUCCAUGCGAAACUCCAAGGUCACCAGCUGAACACAGGAGGCAUAGGUCAAGGGAUCUGGAGAUGCAGGGGUUGAAGGCUGCUCUGAGCUACCUCUGGGAGGAAGGGAGGGAAGGAAUGGGGAGACACUGCCUGCCCCUGGCCUAUGCCAGCUGCCCACCGCUCCGACACGCAUCAGUCUACACAGCUGACACACAGCCUGGGCUCAGGAUGGGCUGGCUCGGGUCCCUCAAUCCUCAGUGGGACAGCUGGCCCCAGGGCUCAGAGACAGGCUGAGGGAGAUGAGAGGGAAAGCUGCCCCACCCAGGUCAUCCCCUCCUUGAGCAGACAGCCCUUCAGAACUGCUAAAAAACCCACUAAUGGGGUUGGAAGACCUGCCAUGGAUGCACUAAGUCAUAGAGAUAUGUAAAAUAACAUUCACUUUUAAGUUCAGAGCUGUCAUCUCAGGAAGUGGGGAGAGCUUCCCUGAAGAAGACUGAGGGGAGGGCAGGCCAUGCUGAAAAGGGAGACAUGGCUCUCCUGAUUGGGGACCUGCAGCCCCCUUCCAGGGCAGGACAUCAUCCUCGCAUCACACGAGAUCCAUGGAAGUGUUCCAUCAGGGCCAGAUGUUUGUCUCGAGAAGGCUACCCUGGUAUCGGACUGCACAGGGCACCAGGGACGAGGGCAAGGUGGAGGACGGACCAUACCCCGGAGGCCAUGGGGCAAGAGCAGAGGCACAUGACCUGGAAGAUGAUGAUGAAAAGCAGGAGGUGGCAGCAUGGAGCCGGCCCAAAAGUGCCAUGGCAGCAGUGCCCACAGGUACACUGACUGGGUGCCUUCUGUGCCCGGUGUGGCUGACUUCAGUGUGCUCCAGACUAGUCCUGACCACAAGUCUAGGAAGUGGCCUCCUCUCCCCUUGCAGCUGCUAGGAAUCACGGUCACAGACCCUGGUCAGCUUUCGUGGAAACCAAGCAGUGGCUCCCCCGCAUGCUGCACCUCUGGUGGUGGUCCAGUGCGACCCUCGUGCCUGGCCAGACACUGAUGUCUACCUGUCUCCACACAAAUCCACAGACAGGAGGGUGUCCUUGAUUCCACAGCACCUGAUGAGACAGAUCCACAGAACCCAACACCCAGUGGGUCACUUGGGACCUCACCUAUGGUCAUGGAGCUCACUGUAAACUAUUUCUGUCACUUUCCACAGAAAGCCUGGUUCUGAUCCCCCACAAUACCAUACAUCCUGGUUGCUGACCUGGGGUCAUGCCAUGAACCCACAUGGCACCUUUCUUUUAGAGAAGGCUAUGCCUACACCUCCUAGAAAAUAUUUCUAAUGAAGUACAGGUCCAUCAGGACUACGGUGUGAACAGUAGCACGCAGCCUGCAUGGUAGUAGUCAGUAAUUCUAACUAGGGUUAACCCCAGCCCCCUUCUCACUCAACCUUCCUCCAUCCCCACUGAACUCAUGGUCUGCCCUCAGAAAACCCUCCAGGAAACAAACCUUUCAUCUGAAUCCUCUCUUCAGCUUCUGCUUCAAACCUUGUCCAACCACAGUGAUAUGAAACUGGAAAUCAGUCUCAAGAAAAAAAAAUGGGACAGUCAAAAAUAGGUGGUGAUUGGGGACCCUGGGUGGCUCAGUCUUAAGGAUCUGCAUUCAGCUCAGGUCCUAUUCCCAGGAUCCUGGGAUGAGCCCUGAAUCAGGCUCCUUGCGCAGUGGGAAGCCCGCUUCUCCCUCUCUCAACCCCCUGCUUGCAUUCCUUCUCUCCCUGUCUCACUCUCUGUCAGAUACUUAAAUAAUCUUCAAAAAAAUAUGUGGAGAUUUAACAACAUGCUUCUGAACAACCAACAUUCAAGGAAGAAAUAAAAAAAAUUUAGAAGUACCUGGUCA
Molecule: long non-coding RNA, 2195 nt
Organism: Ursus maritimus (polar bear)
Lineage: Eukaryota; Metazoa; Chordata; Mammalia; Carnivora; Ursidae
Source: Ensembl